UAGGGAAUAUUGCAAAAUGGGCGAAAGCCCGAUGCAGCAACGCCGCGUGGGCGAUGAAGGCCUUCGGGUCGUAAAGCCCUUUUUGAGGGGAUAAGGAAGGACAGUACCCUCAGAAUAAGCCUCGGCUAACUACGUGCCAGCAGCCGCGGUAAAACGUAGGAGGCGAGCGUUAUCCGGAUUUACUGGGCGUAAAGAGCGUGCAGGCGGAUUGGAGAGUUGGAUGUGAAAGCUCCCGGCUUAACUGGGAGAGGUCGUUCAAUACUUCCAGUCUUGAGUGCAGUAGAGGGAAGUGGAAUUCCGGGUGUAGUGGUGAAAUGCGUAGAUAUCCGGAGGAACACCAGUGGCGAAAGCGGCUUCCUGGACUGUAACUGACGCUCAGACGCGAAAGCUAGGGUAGCAAACG
Molecule: ribosomal RNA, 403 nt
Filed under: uncultured bacterium
Lineage: Bacteria
Description: bacterial SSU rRNA
Rfam family: Bacterial small subunit ribosomal RNA
Source: RNAcentral